GGGGAGCGUGAGUCAUGUUGCCAUAGUUGAGCUGGCACAUAAAACUGCGAGUCACACCAGAAGAGGACAUUGGAUCCCACUAUAGAGGGUUGUGAGCCACCUUGUGGUUGCUGGGAAUUGAACUCAGAAACUCUGGAAGAGCGGUUGGUGCGCUUUACUGCUGAGUCAUCUCUCCAGUCCCAGGUAACCCCAUUCUUAUGCUCAGGAUCCACACGUUAGUCGGAGAAUGAUAAGCAUAUUGUGGAGUAAAACAGUAAAGAAGGCUCCAGGCCUCCCGGCACCCCAAGUCUGGGUGUGGGAAAUUAUGUCUCCCCAUUAGUUUAACUGACUCAAACUUCAGACUUUGUAAAAGGACAUUUUUCUAAAAUAAAGAAGAAAUGGUACAGAGACAUGUGACUCUGUAAUGCCUGGGUCGAUUCCUCCCAAGAAAACAAAAGCCAUCGACAAAUAAACUUGAGGCAUGAGUCUGAACCUUCUAGAGCACAUCUGUGUGAUAGGCUAAGUAUUCUACUUGUUUGAUGAUAUAGCCCAAUUCAGGCUAAAUAACUUAGUGAUUAGGUGUUCUGCCCAGUUUAUAGAACAAGGAAUUGAAGCUUGGAGAAGAUUGAUGGGCCACUCAAGUUCCCUGGAUGGUCCAGGAUUCAGACUGUGGAUGGCCUAAUACAUCAGUUUUGCUGGCUCCCUGUGUUUGGCUAACCUUAGAGCCUCUUACCUUGCCAUAGUCUUUUCUAUGAAGGACAGAGAUCCAAGGAGUAGACCAACUUACCUGAGUUCACACAGUGGACCUGGGUCUUUCACCUCCCAGCGCAAUGUUCCUAUGUCCUGCCACUGAAGAGACAGGUGGGAGGGAGCUCAAGGUUGGCUUGCCUAACAACCAUUGCUUGAAAGACAAAGCUCCCAAGGAGAGCACAAGAUACCUCACUCAAGACUGCUCUGCAUCACCAGCCAGUGUGAACAGAGCCUGCGGCUGUCAGCAGAGUAGUCUUUGUCUCGGAGACACGCUGUGUCUACAAUUGGACUAGGAACUUUGGAUUAGGGUGGGCAUCAUGCCCCAUAGGACAGUGGUGGUGUAUGUAGCCUCAUUUCUGAGUUUAUUUAGAGAGGAGAAAGAAUGUACCAUAGCCCCCAAAGGCUUUAGGUUACAGUGAAUUCUCUUUAGUUCAGAUGUAGUUUAGUUUAGCUUGGUUUGGUUAGCUGUGGUUUCAUUCUGUUCCGUUCCAUUCUGUUUGGUUCGGUUCGGUUCGGUUCCGUUGCAGAGUUGUUGCUCUACGAUGCUUUGCAUCCCAGCUUCCCUGCUCUCUCUUGCUUUGGUUCCCAUCAGGCCCAGAAUAAAUGACAAGGGGAGGGUCAUAGAACAAGCUAAAAGAUGCUUUUUAUUGGCAGG
Molecule: long non-coding RNA, 1384 nt
Filed under: Mus pahari (shrew mouse)
Lineage: Eukaryota; Metazoa; Chordata; Mammalia; Rodentia; Muridae
Description: lncRNA (MGP_PahariEiJ_G0003508.1)
Source: RNAcentral